GCGCAAAAAGAGGCAAAAUGGCAACAAAAAUGCAGCUCAACGAAGGAAAAGUGAAGAAAAGUGCGGCAAUGUGUGAUAUAUAUACUGCACCUGAUUUCGAUCUCUUUCUCUUGUGGAUCUCCGGACUCAAGGACAUUAAAGGAAGCAGCAAAGUGCCAGGCAUGGAACUGCGCUUGAAGACUGAAAGAUGUCAAUCGACUGAAGCCAUAUUUAACUCCAUUUCAAGGGCUAAUAGCCGGACACUUGCGACACUUACAACACGGAAAUCUCAGUGGGCAAUUCUCCACUUUAGCAGAAAAGAUAGGCAGAAGGCCCGCAGCCUCAGCAGCAGCCAGAGGACCAGGAAUCAAAUGGGAGUGGAGGUCAGUUAUGUAUAUAAAAAGGAUUUCUUCGCGAAUUCUUCGUCGUCGUGCGGAUUACAUGGAAAAUAUUACGGCACGACGUACGUGCUUCGCAGGUGCAUACUUCACCGACACCGUCUUCCCUCCUGCACGAUGCUUUCUUUAUCUCAUCGGCUUUGAUCGGCAAUGUGGCGUCCCGACCGCUGCAGCAGGGACAAGUGAUCGACGGCGGAAUGUCAGCAAAGCUUCGAGACGCAGGAUCUAUGUACCCCACGCUUUACCACAAACCGAGUCGUAUCCGAUUUCCCCCGCCAGACGGAGUCCUAUUAAAGCAUUGCCGAGGCGGAUUCGAGACAGACCAAGACCUAGAAGCACACCCUUGCCAUCGUUAUCCUUCAACCCGGCCAUCGACAACAAGGUCUUUGACGAUGGGAAUACGCGGGCUACUAGACUCCAGAUAUAUUUCGUUCUAUGUAGUUCGGUUUAAGGAUAUACGCGUCCAUAUAUUUAAAUAGUAAAUAAAAAUGUUUUCCCCUUGUUUA
RNA transcript from Drosophila miranda, 883 nucleotides. RefSeq lists it as uncharacterized. The record is from RefSeq and is a predicted model, not a curated record. Lineage: Eukaryota; Metazoa; Arthropoda; Insecta; Diptera; Drosophilidae. The transcript has 5 exons.